CGCAUCUGUGCAUGUAGCAUAUCAAUAAGCGGAGGAAAAGAAACUAACAAGGAUUCCCCUAGUAACGGCGAGUGAAGCGGGAAGAGCUCAAAUUUGAAAUCUUAAAGGGUUUCCCUUUACGAAUUGUAGUUUAAAGAAGUGUUUUCUGUUGAGGUUUUGGUAAGAGUUCUUUGGAAUAGGACAUCAUAGAGGGUGAGAAUCCCGUAUUUGACCUUUACUUUCAACUUUGUGAUACACUUUCAAAGAGUCGGAUUGUUUGGGAAUGCAGUCCAAAAUGGGUGGUAAAUUUCAUCUAAAGCUAAAUAUUGGCGAGAGACCGAUAGCGAACAAGUACCGUGAGGGAAAGAUGAAAAGAACUUUGAAAAGAGAGUUAAACAGUACGUGAAAUUGUCAAAAGGGAAGCGUUUGACACCAGUGUUGUUUUUCUGAAAAUCAAUUAAAGAACUGUUUAUGCUAAGUUGUUUAGACUUUAGUCAGCUAACUGUUUAGUUUUGAGCUUUUCUUUAAUGCACUUUUCAGUUAACAGGUCAACAUCAAUUUCUUUUGCUGUAAAAAAGCUUGAGGAAGGUGGCUUGAGAUUCGUCUUAAGUGUUUAUAGCCUCUUGCCUAUGCAGUCGGAGAGAUUGAGGUCUGCAGCGUAGAUCCUUCGGGGCUAAAUGCAUUUGUGCUAAGUUAUAGCAUUUUAUAGACAACUUGUUGACUAUGAUUUGUCUUGUAACUUACUCGCUUAUGUUAUUUUACCUACGCUUAGGAUGUUGACAGCAGUAUAGACUGU
This 775-nucleotide ribosomal RNA is filed under the name uncultured Neocallimastigales. RNAcentral's name for it is "partial large subunit ribosomal RNA". It matches the Rfam family "Eukaryotic large subunit ribosomal RNA", at positions 22 to 637 of the family's 3401-position model. The record is from RNAcentral. Lineage: Eukaryota; Fungi; Neocallimastigomycota; Neocallimastigomycetes; Neocallimastigales.